AAUUAAUGAGCUUGAAAUAAGCAAAAGUUUUGAAACCUUUAGAAAGAACUUCUGAGUUCUAUUAAUUU
This 68-nucleotide transfer RNA is filed under the name Macrostemum floridum. RNAcentral's name for it is "tRNA-Ser". The record is from RNAcentral. Lineage: Eukaryota; Metazoa; Arthropoda; Insecta; Trichoptera; Hydropsychidae.